CCUACGGGAGGCAGCAGUGGGGAAUAUUGCUCAAUGGGCGAAAGCCUGACGCAGCGACGCCGCGUGAGGGAUGAAGGUCUUCGGAUCGUAAACCUCUGUCAGCAGGGAAGCACGGUCACUCUGCUAAUCAGCAGUGAAUUGACGGUACCUGCAAAGGAAGCACCGGCUACAUCCGUGCCAGCAGCCGCGGUAAUACGGAGGGUGCGAUCGUUAAUCGGAAUUACUUGGCGUAAAGCGCUCGUGGGCGGUAUGUUAAGUCAAGGGUGAAAUCCCCGCGCUCACCGUGGGAACUGCCUUUGAAACUGGCAAACUGGAGUGUGUGAGAGGAUAGUGGAAUGCCAGGUGUAGGAGUGAAAUGCGUAGAUAUCUGGAGGAACAUCAGUGGCGAAGGCGACUAUCUGGCACAUAACUGACGCUGAGGAGCGAAAGCGUGGGUAGCAAACAGGAUUAGAUACCCCUGUAGUC
This 465-nucleotide ribosomal RNA is filed under the name uncultured bacterium. RNAcentral describes it as "partial 16S ribosomal RNA". It matches the Rfam family "Bacterial small subunit ribosomal RNA", at positions 338 to 795 of the family's 1533-position model. The record is from RNAcentral.